RNAcentral lists this non-coding RNA (657 nucleotides) under Pan troglodytes (chimpanzee). The record is from RNAcentral. Lineage: Eukaryota; Metazoa; Chordata; Mammalia; Primates; Hominidae.
UUCUUUAGGAAUUUCUCAUAACUAUUUAUUGUAUCCAUAAGGAUUGCAAGGUCUCUUGGAUCAGGUUGUUACCAGGCUGGAGUGCAUUGGUACCGUCACGGCUCACUGCAGCCUCCACGUCCUGGGCUCAAGGGAUCCUCCUAUCUCAGCCUCCCAAGUAGCUGGGUCUACAGGUAUACUCUACCACCCCAGCUUAAUCAUUUUUAAUAUUGCGUUUUCUUGGGGGUAAGGGAAAUAAGGAGUUAAAUGUAAAACCGUUUUACUUAUAAAAGGCUAAGAAUAUUUGGUAAGAACUUGGAAUAAUCAAGGAAGCAAAACAAAGUAGAUUUUAUAAUUUUGCUGGAUAGUUUUUUUUGUUUUUUGUUUUUUUUUUCUUUUUUGGAGAUGGAGUCUCACUCUGUCACCCAGGCUGGAGUACAGUGGUGUGAUCUUGGCUUACUGCAGCCUACACCUCCUGGGUUCAAGCAAUUCUCCUGCCUCAGCCUCCCAAGUAGCUGGGAUUGCAGGUGUGCACCACCACACCUGGCUAAUUUUUUAUCUUUUUAGUAGAGAUGGGGUUUCGCCACGUUGGCCAGGCUGGUCUUGAACUCCUGACCUCAGGUGAUCCACCCUCCUCAGCCUCCCAAAUUGCUGGGAUUACAGGCAUGAGCCACUGCG